RNAcentral lists this ribosomal RNA (684 nucleotides) under Salmonella enterica. RNAcentral's name for it is "bacterial SSU rRNA". It matches the Rfam family "Bacterial small subunit ribosomal RNA", at positions 1 to 674 of the family's 1533-position model. Lineage: Bacteria; Pseudomonadati; Pseudomonadota; Gammaproteobacteria; Enterobacterales; Enterobacteriaceae. The record is from RNAcentral.
AAAUUGAAGAGUUUGAUCAUGGCUCAGAUUGAACGCUGGCGGCAGGCCUAACACAUGCAAGUCGAACGGUAACAGGAAGCAGCUUGCUGCUUCGCUGACGAGUGGCGGACGGGUGAGUAAUGUCUGGGAAACUGCCUGAUGGAGGGGGAUAACUACUGGAAACGGUGGCUAAUACCGCAUAACGUCGCAAGACCAAAGAGGGGGACCUUCGGGCCUCUUGCCAUCAGAUGUGCCCAGAUGGGAUUAGCUUGUUGGUGAGGUAACGGCUCACCAAGGCGACGAUCCCUAGCUGGUCUGAGAGGAUGACCAGCCACACUGGAACUGAGACACGGUCCAGACUCCUACGGGAGGCAGCAGUGGGGAAUAUUGCACAAUGGGCGCAAGCCUGAUGCAGCCAUGCCGCGUGUAUGAAGAAGGCCUUCGGGUUGUAAAGUACUUUCAGCGGGGAGGAAGGUGUUGUGGUUAAUAACCGCAGCAAUUGACGUUACCCGCAGAAGAAGCACCGGCUAACUCCGUGCCAGCAGCCGCGGUAAUACGGAGGGUGCAAGCGUUAAUCGGAAUUACUGGGCGUAAAGCGCACGCAGGCGGUCUGUCAAGUCGGAUGUGAAAUCCCCGGGCUCAACCUGGGAACUGCAUUCGAAACUGGCAGGCUUGAGUCUUGUAGAGGGGGGUAGAAUUCCAGGU